AGAGUUUGAUCCUGGCUCAGAUUGAACGCUGGCGGCAUGCCUUACACAUGCAAGUCGAACGGCAGCGCGGGGCAACCUGGCGGCGAGUGGCGAACGGGUGAGUAAUAUAUCGGAACGUGCCCUGGAGUGGGGGAUAACGCAGCGAAAGUUGCGCUAAUACCGCAUACGAUCUAAGGAUGAAAGCAGGGGACCGCAAGGCCUUGUGCUCCUGGAGCGGCCGAUAUCUGAUUAGCUAGUUGGUGGGGUAAAGGCCUACCAAGGCAUCGAUCAGUAGCUGGUCUGGGAGGACGACCAGCCACACUGGAACUGAGACACGGUCCAGACUCCUACGGGAGGCAGCAGUGGGGAAUUUUGGACAAUGGGCGAAAGCCUGUUCCAGCAAUGCCGCGUGAGUGAAGAAGGCCUUCGGGC
Molecule: ribosomal RNA, 411 nt
Filed under: uncultured bacterium
Lineage: Bacteria
Description: bacterial SSU rRNA
Rfam family: Bacterial small subunit ribosomal RNA
Source: RNAcentral